This 918-nucleotide unclassified non-coding RNA is filed under the name Hevea brasiliensis (rubber tree). Lineage: Eukaryota; Viridiplantae; Streptophyta; Magnoliopsida; Malpighiales; Euphorbiaceae. The record is from RNAcentral.
GGAUGACCUCCUCUCUCUCUCUCUUUAGUCUUUCCUUUGUCCCUGACGCUUUCGACCUCUUCUCUUACUGACCUGGCAGCUUCCCUUGUUUCUUGAGGGGGAGUACUCAUCCUCUGUUUUUAAAAGUGGGUCUCCCUCUCCUCCUUCGGGCGGAGUUGAUUUAUAUUGAUGCAGAUGAGGGGUUAAUGAAGAGGAUUUUAGGGGAAUUACAUGUCUAAAACUCUUAGUCUUUAAUCUUGAGCUGCUUAUUUUAUUUGAUUCUAUUUCUUGUUCCUGCGUGGGUUUGCUUAAUUAUAGGUUAUAGUUUCUCAGUGGUGCUUGUUUUGAGAAGAAAUGAUGGUGGUGGAUUGUAGAGUGCAGUUUGGGAAGCUGACCCAGAGAGUGCGAAUGGGACGCCAAAGAACACCACACCCUUUUUGACCUCUGUGCUUAUCGGUCAUCUGUAGCCAUCGGAGUUUCAGUUAUGUUUGGCCUUGUUUGACCAUUUUUUACCUCUCAGCGUAUCGAUCAUUUGCAGCCACUGGAGUUUUAGUUAUGUUUUGCCCUGUUGGGAGAUCCUUGGGACGCGUCUAGGCAAGGAGUUAUUUCGAAUAUGCUCAAAAUGCAACAGUCAUGGUUGCCGUUUUAGCAUUGAUGAGGAUUUCUGGUGCUUAUUUGGGUGGCUAAUUUGUCUUGAGGAAGAAACAAGCAGCCUGGUAAUGUCUAAGGUUUCUGUGGAUAUAAGGUAUUUAAGUUAUCAGGCCUGACUAGCCUGAGCUCAUUUGAUUUAUGAUUUUAAGCUAAAGUUUGAUUUGAUUUAUAGGUUUAGGUCUUUAAUAUGUAUCCUUUUGUCUUUAAUGGGCCCUAGACCUUUUCUAUUGUAAUGAAUUUAUCUAUUAAAAAAAAAUGCCACCCUAAUGAUGAUGAGUAGACAUGGUA